UCCGUAGGCGGUUUGUCGCAUCUCCUGUUAAAUCCCGAGGCUCAACCUCGGAACCGCGGGAGAGAUGGAUAAACUAGAGGCCGGGAAAGGUAAGCGGAAUUGCUGGCGUAGGGGUUAAAUCCGUUAAUAUCAGCAGGAACACCAAAUGCGUAGGCAGCUUACUAGAACGUGCCUGACGCUCAGGGACGAAAGCGUGGGGAGCGAACAGGAUUAGAUACCCUGGUAGUCC
RNAcentral lists this ribosomal RNA (229 nucleotides) under uncultured bacterium. RNAcentral's name for it is "partial 16S ribosomal RNA". It matches the Rfam family "Bacterial small subunit ribosomal RNA", at positions 568 to 796 of the family's 1533-position model. The record is from RNAcentral.